GACGAACGCUGGCUGCGUGCUUAACACAUGCAAGUCGAACGGAAAGGCCCUGCGUUUGUGGGGUGCCCGAGUGGCGAACGGGUGAAUAACACGUGGGUAACCUGCCCUUGACUUUGGGCUAACUUCAGGAAACUGGGGCUAAUACCGCACAGGAGCUCCUGCUGCAUGGUGGGGGUUGGAAAGUUUCGGCGGUCGGGGAUGGACUCGCAGCUUAUCAGCUUGUUGGUGGGGUAGUGGCGUACCAAGGCUUUGACGGGUAGCCGGCCGGAGAGGGUGACCGGCCACGUAGGGGCUGAGAUACGGCCCAGGCUGCAACCGGAGGCAGCAGUGGGGGAUUUGGCGCAAUCGGCGGACGCCGGUUGCAGCAAUGCCGCGCCCGGGAGGCCGGCGUCACGGGAGCUGAUCUAUAUAGCGUGGGACGAAGCGUCCGUGAUGGUAUCAGCGCAACAAGCACCGGCUAAACACCUG
This 468-nucleotide ribosomal RNA is filed under the name uncultured bacterium. RNAcentral describes it as "partial 16S ribosomal RNA". It matches the Rfam family "Bacterial small subunit ribosomal RNA", at positions 28 to 507 of the family's 1533-position model. The record is from RNAcentral.